GUCCCUAACCACUGAGCCAAAUUAGGUCUGGGGUCAAUCAAUUCAUAUCAAAAUAUGAAUCGAUGCGACCAACUACAACUAAACUCAACUUUGAGCCCCUUCGACCUAAUCUUAAUCAAUAAUUGAUUAGAUUCAAUUAACUGCUCACAAUCGACAAUGGGUUCUAGCCAGAUCUAAUUAAUUGACCCUAAUUGUAGUU
This 199-nucleotide long non-coding RNA is filed under the name Elaeis guineensis (African oil palm). Its description in RNAcentral is "long non-coding RNA (EGUI_LNC052120)". Lineage: Eukaryota; Viridiplantae; Streptophyta; Magnoliopsida; Arecales; Arecaceae. The record is from RNAcentral.